UAAAAAUAAUAAGUUAAUUGCCUGAUUAGAAUAAUUUUCCGUUUCAUGUAUGUGAGCCUCAGUUAUUUUUUUGUGGUCGAGUGUCAUAAACGAUAUCUGAAUGACAAAAGCUUUUGGGGAAUUGUGUUGGUUGUGGGGUUUCGCUGGCUUGGUGCGGAUGGUUCUGACUAUCUCGUAAAUUAGUCUUGUGACAAACGAUGACAGUGCGGACGGCUUGUUGCUCUGUGCAAACAAACCAACCCCAACCCCACCCCACCCCACCCACGACCACACACCCUGCUUGCAACAUCGAUUAAACUUUGACAAAGUUGCGAUUAUUUUAUUGACAAACUGGCGACCUUGGCGUUGACAGUCGGUGACGUCACUGCGGCACUGGCUGGCACCCAGAUGCUGUCCUAUGUACAAUAUACCCCAAUCCAGCAUCCCAACUUACCAAUGACGGAAACGCACUUCUCGUUCACAACUCCACUGGGCAGGAGAUGGAAGUCGAACUCCGUGCCAUUAGCCACCACAGUGUGUCCAGCGUUGUUGCCGCCCUGUGGAUUGGAAAGAUUGAAAAUGUAGUUUUCCAGAUAUACAAUGUAUGGCUGUUGAUAUACAAAA
Long non-coding RNA from Drosophila sechellia, 603 nucleotides. RefSeq lists it as uncharacterized. The record is from RefSeq and is a predicted model, not a curated record. NCBI's taxonomy places the organism in Eukaryota, Metazoa, Arthropoda, Insecta, Diptera, Drosophilidae. The transcript is spliced from 2 exons.